RNAcentral lists this long non-coding RNA (420 nucleotides) under Salvator merianae (Argentine black and white tegu). Its description in RNAcentral is "lncRNA (ENSSMRG00000017632.1)". The record is from RNAcentral. Lineage: Eukaryota; Metazoa; Chordata; Lepidosauria; Squamata; Teiidae.
AAAAGUGUGUGUGGGAAAGCUACAGAAAAAGGUCUUCCAUCUGCAAACAUACAAAGGGAUGUUUUGAGACCUGCCAUUUUACAACCACCAGAAGAUGCUUUCUGUAGCCCUGCAAAUAUGAGGGNACCUGAAAGUGUCUCAGAGGAUAAGUGUGAGGAAGAAAAAAAGGUAAAGAUGCAGUAUGGAUAAGAAAUACCACCACCUCAACUUUUGUGGGAUAAAAACUGUAAGUUUCUUAUAUUUGUGAGUGAUAAUUUGUGAGCCUCCCUUGCAAUCUGUGAAGGACAAAAGUCAGCUGCUGCCACUUAACAGCCAAUUUCUAGGCUGAAAUGUACUGAGGGUUGAAGUCAGUUGCUUAGCAGCUUUCUCAGUUUUGGCAGGUUUUGAAAUUCGCACCAUUUUCGCAGAAGGUAACCCUUG